Molecule: long non-coding RNA, 985 nt
Organism: Tachysurus fulvidraco (yellow catfish)
Lineage: Eukaryota; Metazoa; Chordata; Actinopteri; Siluriformes; Bagridae
Exons: 3
Source: RefSeq, a predicted model, not a curated record
AGUUGGCCUUUGUUCUUUAUUUGUUCUAAUGACACAUUCAUCUAAGGUGCUUUAAUUCUUACUCAUUUCUGUUAUGAGCUGACAUUGUGUGAACCUGACAUUUUUUCCCUCUCAUAACAGGAAAAUGUCUGAGCUGUGACUAACCUUGCUGUGACAUAUAAAAGCCUACUUCAUGAUUCUAGCACCUGGUAGUGAGGCAACAAUGAAUGUGUGACAUUCUGAGAAGAUUCUGAGGAGCCCAGAGGCCUGUGGGUGGUUGUGAAACGCCAGUAGAGACACUGUGAUGACGCACAUAAGCUUAACGCAUGAGGAAACCCCACUCACAGACAAACUGCUUUAUGUGUGCUGCAGCCUGGGGACUAAAGCCUUGGACUGGACCCCUCUAACAUUGCAGAAGAUAUGCUUAAUAAACAUCCAUCUAGACUGAAGGUCAACCACACCUAUCUCUGACUCAAUCUUGGCUAAAACAGGAAGGUGAUCAUGAAUUUGCUGUUUCUGCUAGACUGGUAGACAUUAUUCAAGAUUCUUCUGUGAUCAUUUUAGAUCAAAGUUUAAAACAUAUUUGAUCUUUGGCAAAUUGUUAAAUCCAUUAUAUAAGUAUAUGUAUAUAUUUGUGUAUAUGUAUGAUGUAUUUUUCCAAAUAUUAUUGUCUAUUGCAGUCAAGUAUUUUUCACUGGUGAAAAACAAUUUUUCACUAUACCACUUUGUGCAGCACUUACUUAUGAAAAUACACCAGCAGCUACAUCGUGACCGUUAUGUUUAUGAGCACUGACAUCCUGUAUCGAAACCACCAAAAAAGCAAAACAGGCUUUGAGUAAAGACAUUUGUUGUUGUGGUUCACUUUACAAAAAAUAUUGACAUUCAUACAUACCUAACAGGGUGGGACUGAGACCACAAGCAGAUCUAAACAAUGUCUGGCUCAAUUGUGUGCGUCAGAAAGCUAUGGAGAUGUGAUGUUCAAUUCAAUUCAAUUGAAGUUUUUGUA